UGCGCAGAAAGGUGGCCUAUGCUUGCAAGCCACCGCUCCUGGAGGGGUCCGCGUCUGAUUAGCUAGUUGGCGGGGUAACGGCCCACCAAGGCGACGAUCAGUAGCCGGCCUGAGAGGGUGAUCGGCCACACUGGAACUGAGACACGGUCCAGACUCCUACGGGAGGCAGCAGGUGGGGAAUAUUGGACAAGUGGGGGAAACCCUGAUCCAGCAACGCCGCGUGGAGGAUGAAGGUCUUCGGAUUGUAAACUCCUGUUAGGGGGACGAAGGGAUGUCGGCGAACAGCCGGCAAACUUGACGGUACCCCCAGAGGAAGCCCCGGCUAACUCUGUG
Molecule: ribosomal RNA, 333 nt
Filed under: uncultured bacterium
Lineage: Bacteria
Description: bacterial SSU rRNA
Rfam family: Bacterial small subunit ribosomal RNA
Source: RNAcentral